This 780-nucleotide ribosomal RNA is filed under the name uncultured Actinomycetes bacterium. RNAcentral's name for it is "bacterial SSU rRNA". It matches the Rfam family "Bacterial small subunit ribosomal RNA", at positions 566 to 1344 of the family's 1533-position model. Lineage: Bacteria; Bacillati; Actinomycetota; Actinomycetes. The record is from RNAcentral.
AGCGUGUAGGCGGCCAGACAGGUCCGUUGUGAAAACUGGAGGCUCAACCUCCAGCCGUCGAUGGAAACCGUCUGGCUAGAGUCCGGAAGAGGAGAGUGGAAUUCCUGGUGUAGCGGUGAAAUGCGCAGAUAUCAGGAGGAACACCCGUGGCGAAACGGCUCUCUGGGACGGUACUGACGCUGAGACGCGAAAGGCUGGGGGAGCAAACAGGAUUAGAUACCCUGGUAGUCCACGCCGUAAACGAUGGGUGCUAGGUGUGGGCGGUGUCGACUCCGUCCGUGCCGAAGCUAACGCAUUAAGCACCCCGCCUGGGGAGUACGGCCGCAAGGCUAAAAAUCAAAGGAAUUGACGGGGGCCCGCACAAGCAGCGGAGCAUGUGGUUUAAUUCGACGCGACGCGAAGAACCUUACCAGGGCUUGACAUGCACUGGAAAAGCCGUAGAAAAUACGGCCCCCCUUCGGGGCCUUUGCACAGGUGGUGCAUGGCUGUCGUCAGCUCGUGUCGUGAGAUGUUGGGUUAAGUCCCGCAACGAGCGCAACCCCUGUCCCAUGUUGCCAGCGUGAAAGACGGGGACUCAUGGGAGACUGCCGGUGACAAAUCGGAGGAAGGUGGGGAUGAUGUCAAGUCAUCAUGCCCCUUAUGUCCUGGGCUACACACGUGCUACAUUGGCCGGUACAAAGGGCUGCAAACCCGUGAGGGGGAGCGAAUCCCAAAAAGCCGGUCCCGGUUCGGAUUGGAGGCUGAAACUUGCCUGCAUGAAGUUGGAAUCGCUAGUAAUCG